GCUCAAUGAAAUUUAAAUAGCCGCUUUUGUGCUAAGGUAGCAUAAUAAUUUGUCUUUUAAUUAAAGACUAGAACAAAAGGUUUAACAUCUCAAUUAAUAUUUUAUAAAAAACUAUUUAAAUUAUUUUAAUUGUAAAAAAACAAUUUUAAAAAAGAAAGACGAUAAGACCCUAUCGAACUUUACUUUAGUUUAACUGGGGCAGUUAAUUAAUUAUUAUUUUAAUUUAAAUAAAUAUUUAAUUUGACCUAAUAUUAUUAAUAAUAUAACUAAGUUACCGUAGGGAUAACAGCGUAAUAAAAUUUUUAAGAUCUUAUUUAAAAUAAAGAUUGCGACCUCGAUGUUGAUUUAAUAUCCUAAUUUACGCAAUAGUUAAUUAAGGAAGUCUGUUCGACUUUUAAAAAAUUACAUGAUUUGAGUUCAGACCGGUGUAAACCAGGUCGGUUUCUAUCUUCUAAAAAAAUUCUUCUAGUACGAAAGGACCUAAGAAAAUAAUAAUAUU
This 499-nucleotide ribosomal RNA is filed under the name Pardosa digitaliformis. RNAcentral describes it as "partial 16S ribosomal RNA". The stretch from base 153 to 453 matches the Rfam family "Bacterial large subunit ribosomal RNA", at positions 2074 to 2646 of the family's 2925-position model. Lineage: Eukaryota; Metazoa; Arthropoda; Arachnida; Araneae; Lycosidae. The record is from RNAcentral.